RNAcentral lists this ribosomal RNA (240 nucleotides) under uncultured bacterium. RNAcentral's name for it is "partial 16S ribosomal RNA". It matches the Rfam family "Bacterial small subunit ribosomal RNA", at positions 118 to 353 of the family's 1533-position model. The record is from RNAcentral.
UGAGCAAUCUGCCCUUCUCUUCGGAAUAAGCGUUGGAAACGACGUCUAAUGCCGAAUACGACCUCCUUUCACAUGAUCGGAGGUGGAAAGCUCCGGCGGAGAAGGAUGAGCUCGCGGCCUAUCAGCUAGUUGGUGUGGGUAAUAGCCCACCAAGGCGACGACGGGUAGCCGGCCUGAGGAGGGGCGACCCGGCCACACGUGGGACUGAGACACGGCCCAGACUCCGUACGGGAGNACGCG